Molecule: ribosomal RNA, 700 nt
Filed under: Streptomyces sp. NE-229
Lineage: Bacteria; Bacillati; Actinomycetota; Actinomycetes; Kitasatosporales; Streptomycetaceae
Description: bacterial SSU rRNA
Rfam family: Bacterial small subunit ribosomal RNA
Source: RNAcentral
UCGAACGAUGAAGCCCUUCGGGGUGGAUUAGUUGGCGAACGGGUGAGUAACACGUGGGCAAUCUGCCCUUCACUCUGGGACAAGCCCUGGAAACGGGGUCUAAUACCGGAUAACACCGGCUUCCGCAUGGAAGCUGGUUAAAAGCUCCGGCGGUGAAGGAUGAGCCCGCGGCCUAUCAGCUUGUUGGUGGGGUAAUGGCCUACCAAGGCGACGACGGGUAGCCGGCCUGAGAGGGCGACCGGCCACACUGGGACUGAGACACGGCCCAGACUCCUACGGGAGGCAGCAGUGGGGAAUAUUGCACAAUGGGCGAAAGCCUGAUGCAGCGACGCCGCGUGAGGGAUGACGGCCUUCGGGUUGUAAACCUCUUUCAGCAGGGAAGAAGCGAAAGUGACGGUACCUGCAGAAGAAGCGCCGGCUAACUACGUGCCAGCAGCCGCGGUAAUACGUAGGGCGCAAGCGUUGUCCGGAAUUAUUGGGCGUAAAGAGCUCGUAGGCGGCUUGUCACGUCGGGUGUGAAAGCCCGGGGCUUAACCCCGGGUCUGCAUCCGAUACGGGCAGGCUAGAGUGUGGUAGGGGAGAUCGGAAUUCCUGGUGUAGCGGUGAAAUGCGCAGAUAUCAGGAGGAACACCGGUGGCGAAGGCGGAUCUCUGGGCCAUUACUGACGCUGAGGAGCGAAAGCGUGGGGAGCGAACAGGAU